ACCCGCUGAACUUAAGCAUAUCAAUAAGCGGAGGAAAAGAAACCAACAGGGAUUGCCCUAGUAACGGCGAGUGAAGCGGCAACAGCUCAAAUUUGAAAUCUGGCGCAAGCCCGAGUUGUAAUUUGUAGAGGAUGCUUCUGGGCAGCGGCCGGUCUAAGUUCCUUGGAACAGGACGUCAUAGAGGGUGAGAAUCCCGUAUGCGACCGGUUGGCACCCGUUACGUAGCUCCUUCGACGAGUCGAGUUGUUUGGGAAUGCAGCUCUAAAUGGGAGGUAAAUUCCUUCUAAAGCUAAAUACCGGCCAGAGACCGAUAGCGCACAAGUAGAGUGAUCGAAAGAUGAAAAGCACUUUGGAAAGAGAGUUAAAAAGCACGUGAAAUUGUUGAAAGGGAAGCGCAUGCAACCAGACUUGUCGGCGGUGUUCCGCCGGUCUUCUGACCGGUCUACUCGCCGCCGGCAGGCCAGCAUCACUUGGGAGCGCCGGAUAAAGGCGCCGGGAAUGUGGCUCCUCGGAGUGUUAUAGCCCGGCGCACAAUACGGCGUCCCCCGAGUGAGGUCCGCGCUUCGGCUAGGAUGCUGGCGUAAUGGUUGUCUGCGGCCCGUCUUGAAACACGG
RNAcentral lists this ribosomal RNA (614 nucleotides) under uncultured fungus. RNAcentral describes it as "LSU rRNA". It matches the Rfam family "Eukaryotic large subunit ribosomal RNA", at positions 23 to 664 of the family's 3401-position model. Lineage: Eukaryota; Fungi. The record is from RNAcentral.